GAUCAUGGCUCAGAUUGAACGCUGGCGGCAUGCCUUACACAUGCAAGUCGAACGGUAACAGGUCUUCGGACGCUGACGAGUGGCGAACGGGUGAGUAAUACAUCGGAACGUGCCCAGUCGUGGGGGAUAACUACUCGAAAGAGUAGCUAAUACCGCAUACGAUCUGAGGAUGAAAGCGGUCGGGUACCGUUCGGGCCUCGCGCGUAGUUGGGAGGCCGGGCCGAGUGGCAGUAGUUAGGUAGUUGGGUGG
Molecule: ribosomal RNA, 250 nt
Filed under: uncultured bacterium
Lineage: Bacteria
Description: partial 16S ribosomal RNA
Rfam family: Bacterial small subunit ribosomal RNA
Source: RNAcentral